UGGGGAAUUUUGGACAAUGGGCGAAAGCCUGAUCCAGCAAUGCCGCGUGUGUGAAGAAGGCCUUCGGGUUGUAAAGCACUUUUGUCCGGAAAGAAAUCCUUGGCUCUAAUACAGUCGGGGGAUGACGGUACCGGAAGAAUAAGCACCGGCUAACUACGUGCCAGCAGCCGCGGUAAUACGUAGGGUGCAAGCGUUAAUCGGAAUUACUGGGCGUAAAGCGUGCGCAGGCGGUUUGCUAAGACCGAUGUGAAAUCCCCGGGCUCAACCUGGGAACUGCAUUGGUGACUGGCAGGCUAGAGUAUGGCAGAGGGGGGUAGAAUUCCACAUGUAGCAGUGAAAUGCGUAGAGAUGUGGAGGAAUACCGAUGGCGAAGGCAGCCCCCUGGGCCAAUACUGACGCUCAUGCACGAAAGCGUGGGGAGCAAAACAGGAUUAGAUACCCUGGUAGUCCACGCCCUAAAACGAUGUCAACUAGUUGUUGGGGAUUCAUUUCCUUAGUAACGUAGCUAACGCGUGAAGUUGACCGCCUGGGGAGUACGGUCGCAAGAUUAAAACUCAAAGGAAUUGACGGGGUCAUAGCUGUUUCCU
This 587-nucleotide ribosomal RNA is filed under the name uncultured bacterium. RNAcentral describes it as "partial 16S ribosomal RNA". It matches the Rfam family "Bacterial small subunit ribosomal RNA", at positions 355 to 1375 of the family's 1533-position model. The record is from RNAcentral.